This is a long non-coding RNA of Folsomia candida, 2014 nucleotides long. RefSeq lists it as uncharacterized. The transcript has 5 exons. The record is from RefSeq and is a predicted model, not a curated record. NCBI's taxonomy places the organism in Eukaryota, Metazoa, Arthropoda, Collembola, Entomobryomorpha, Isotomidae.
ACGAAAUCCCGUCCACACCAACGGAAAUGAUUCGCGAAAGCUACGACUUUUUUUCGUACCGCGAGGCAAAGGUGCGAAUUAAGGAGUUGAUGGAGUCAAAUAGGAACAACGACCAGAUCGUCUUGUUCUUCGUGGCGUCGAGAGAUCGGAACGGGAAGGUUUGGCAUCACGACAGCAAUAUUGCCGAGAGAGCGGUGUCCUUCCUCAUCAAAAAGAUCCAGGCGGGGGGAACUUUUAUCAAAAUUUCGACUGGAAACAGGACGCAAUGGAAUGAAAGUUCGAGCAAUCCGUGGCGACGUGAUCCCCAGUUUGGACUCAUCUCGAUCCCCACUCUCAUGGUUUGCAGUACGACGAAGAAACUCAACGGGAGGAAAAUGUUCGACAUGGAAUCAAUCAUCGCACUUUUGAAGGAUUAAUAAGAACAGUUGAAUUUUAUUUAUCAAAAUUUCAUUCAUGCAAAUUAACAAAAUAUAUAAAGGACUGAUGUCAUAAUGCUACCCAAUUAAUUAAUAACGACUCAAAAAAAUUGAAACGAUUGUUUGUAAACUGUGUAAAUUUUAGUGCAAAAUUUAAAAAAAAGAAAGAAACGCCUUCGCCUUCGCUGUGUAAAUUUGUGCCCUGAUUUACAUUCGCAUAAUUUUUGCAAACUUUUUCAAGCAGAUUUUAUAGAAUUGCAAAUAUCAUCGCGAAUUCCACAGAAUUACCUUAAAUCUUUGUAAACUUGUAGAAACGGUAAUACACAUUUUUACGAAAAUUACCCAUUACAAGCAUCUUCGUUAAUUGCGCCAUCAAUUAUUUGCAAAAAAAACUACUGCACACACACCACGAAUUGAUUGAUCAAGCAUGGCGCAACAUAUUUAUGAUCUAUCCACAUACAUACGUGCAAAAAAACUGAUCGACCCCUACGACCAAUUUCAAGAUCGCAUCCUACGCAAUGCAGUUGCACUUAAGGAAAAAAAAAUCCUGUUAUUAUUUCAUCAGUUUUUGUGGAAACGUACCUACCUGCACCCAUGUCAAAGUAGCGUUACGCUUUAACAGACAGAAAACAAUGGGAUUCUCUUCACAAUUGCAAUCCCUUCAGCGAGUCCCUAACGAACAGUUAGGUUUAUAACAGUUAAACAUAAGAAAAAGUAACCCUUUUCUUCGCAAUGCAUGCAUGCAGACAUACAUCACACCAAUUUAUUAUUUGGUUUAGUUAGUUGUUGUUGUUACAAUAAGUUGACGGUGUUUGUUGGUUUGGUUGACCGUAAUUUGGUUUCACUUGGUUCGUAGUAGAAACUCGCAUCGCAACUACAGAGUGAGACAGACAGUGCAGGGUGCAGGUCUCUAAUCUAAUAGGAGAGAUUGGAUAAGAAGACGAUACCAUUUUUGUGGAGGAAAAUAAGAAUAAUUCUGACGGAAAUUUGCACAAAAAUUUCUGAGAGGAGAGAUUGAAUCAGAAGAUACCGUUUUUUAGAAGAAAAUAAUAUAAUGUCGUGGACUCCAUACUACUCGACGGUAGGAUCCUUUGCGGAUGAAGUAGUGAAUUUUAUCUGUCUCGUGGGGCUCGUGAUGGCGAUAUCGAUUGUCCUCUUGUGGGGGACGAGCUUCAUAAUUUUGAUGGGCUGGACCAAGAGUAUGAACGCCUCGGGGAAAAAGGAGGACAAUCUGAUGAGCGACAUGGUGAAUAAUAACGAGUACAGUAAUUCUGGAAAAGUUGGGGCGAAUAAGAGAGUAUUAAAAUCGUUAUGAGUAAGUAAGACCGUGGAUAAGAAUCCUUAUCUUGACCUUAUCUUGAAUUUAUUUUAUUUUAUUUUUUACAUAAAACAAUGUUAGUAAUUCUUCUUGUAAAUAACAUAUAUUUAAAGCUCUCUCGGUUUAAAAAGAUUGAUGAUAUUAAAUAAUAGACGGAGCAGGUGAUAGUUUUAGUGUAAUUAAUGUGUCAUUAAAUUUAAAUGGAAUGGAGAAUAAUUGUGUCCUGGAAUUGUCCUGAGUUGUGUUGUGAAGUGGACAAAAUAAAAGCUUGCGUAAAUUA